AGGAUACAAGACAAUGGGACAAGGAAGGGAUAGCUUCUAAUCUCACUACUCCUAGCAAAAGGCUUUUAGGGUUGGCCUACUCCUAGAACGAGGGGAUUACUUAAAAUAGCACCAGGCAGGGUCACUCUUUCACCCGGGAAAGCUCUAUAGAACCAGCACCAGUGAUUAGAUAGCGCGCUUCCUCUAGCUGGUUUAGAACCAUGAUAAUGAAAUAUAUCUAGCUCUAGAACUCGAAAGAGGGGCUUACUUGUUGGCAGGUAGCUCCAUGUAAGG
Molecule: unclassified non-coding RNA, 273 nt
Filed under: Hevea brasiliensis (rubber tree)
Lineage: Eukaryota; Viridiplantae; Streptophyta; Magnoliopsida; Malpighiales; Euphorbiaceae
Source: RNAcentral